GUCAUUAUUUCUACGACUUGUGGCACAUGUCCGUUCAGGUUUUCCACCUUUUAUUUCGAAACUUGUCUUCACGUUUUCAUGAGUACCGGUUCGGAAGAUGGAGCGGAGCGAGUGAUUUAUUGUACUUCUGACGUAAAUUUGGACACGAGUAAUCGAAAGUGCAUAUACGAACAUAUAGACUAAACGUUUAAAAAAUAUGUGAGAUAUGUUUACGGUGAUAUGAUGUGUUUUAGAAGAUAUGAGAGAUAUUUGCAGUUCAUCAAAUGCAGUGUUUCAAUUAACCUUUUAGGUUACGUCACGUUUGUAGAACGUGUUCCGUAAGUGAAUAUGCAGUGCUCUAUGAAAAAGCAAGAACACUAUUGUUGGUCAGCAGAUUGGAAGUGAAUGAAAGUGAAGCCCUCUCUGAGAUCCGGAAGCAAGGCGCCUGGGAAUCUGGCAGAAUAUCCGAACAGAAUUACGUCACACAGCUUGGGAUACUGGUUUGUGGCUGCUACUGCAAGAGGAUUAGGAAGUGCGGUCCGUGUUUACACCUGAUGAGAUACAUCUCAGGACUUAGGAGGGAACAUCUGCAUAGAAGUCUGAAGAAAUGCUGGACACAGUGACCGAAAAUUAUUUGGAUGAUUUAGCUGUAUCCUUUCAUGCAGAUUUCUGAAGAUUUUCCACAAUGUCAACCUUAAGGACAUCCAGUUACGCUACAGGAAAUUUAAAAGAUGGGAUAAAAUAAUCUCAGUGGAAUCGUGGAAAACUGUGAAGUGCGACGGUGAGUCUGACGUUGAUACGGUUAUUAUACGAACUGGACGCAUGAUCCGUGAUCUUCAAGUGCAAGUUAUACUUCUGAAAUUCAGCAAUUUUAUUACAAAUCUUUAUAAGUAAACACCUGAAUUCAGAUUUUAAAUUGUUUAUUACAUAUUCACAAUUUAUUUGAGGUUUAGGAUCGGCUGUAUAAUUAUUCCGGUGUGGUAAUGCGUGUGCAAGACGUUGAAGUGGUUUCAGAGAUCCAAAUAUGAACAAGUAUUAAAUUCAAACUUCACCACAUGCGUAAAACAAAUUAAAGUUCUACUGUUAAUUCUCGUGGACAUAUUUAAUCGUGUGUGGAUACUACGAAAUAAAAAUUCUUACUCCAUUCAGUGCAUUGUGGCUUACGAAAGUUCUCCAUGUUGGAAGAUGGCACCUAACAUCCAUA
Molecule: long non-coding RNA, 1183 nt
Organism: Cryptotermes secundus
Lineage: Eukaryota; Metazoa; Arthropoda; Insecta; Blattodea; Kalotermitidae
Exons: 3
Source: RefSeq, a predicted model, not a curated record